RNAcentral lists this ribosomal RNA (489 nucleotides) under uncultured bacterium. Its description in RNAcentral is "partial 16S ribosomal RNA". It matches the Rfam family "Bacterial small subunit ribosomal RNA", at positions 28 to 507 of the family's 1533-position model. The record is from RNAcentral.
GAUGAACGCUAGCGAUAGGCUUAACACAUGCAAGUCGAGGGGCAGCAUGGUCUUAGCUUGCUAAGACUGAUGGCGACCGGCGCACGGGUGCGUAACGCGUAUGCAACUUGCCUCACAGAGGGGGAUAACCCGUCGAAAGACGGACUAAUACCGCGUACACUCUAUUUUGGGCAUCCAAGGUAGAGGAAAUGAAAUUCGCUGUGAGAUAGGCAUGCGUCCCAUUAGCUAGUUGGUGAGGUAACGGCUCACCAAGGCGACGAUGGGUAGGGGAACUGAGAGGUUGAACCCACACACUGGUACUGAGACACGGACCAGACUCCUACGGGAGGCAGCAGUGAGGAAUAUUGGUCAAUGGGCGAGAGCCUGAACCAGCCAAGUCGCGUGAAGGAUGACUGUCUUAUGGAUUGUAAACUUCUUUUGUAGGGGAAUAAAGAGGGGCACGUGUGCCCCAGUGAAUGUACCCUACGAAUAAGCAUCGGCUACUCCGUG